UGUUAGCUUUCCGAACACCUACACUAAAGUUCCGCGCUGUUGCUAUAGCGACGGCAGCCGCUGCUUUGGUACAGCUGAAAGGAGCCGGAGGUGUGCAUAGAAAGAGGUUAACCCUGAAGAAAUGGAACCAGCAGAGGAGACAGAGUCAGUGGACACAGUAGAAAUAAGUGAGCCUGGGGAUUUGGGACCUCAGGAGGAACCAGCAUAUUUCAGUCCACUCCUGAGGGCUGCUUUGACUGGUGAUACAGAAGGGAUACAACAGAUUUUCGAGGACCCAGAGGAUCCUGAUCAUGAAAAAGCCAAUGAGCUGCUAAUGGAAAAGGAUAUUGUAGGAAGAGACUUGUUGUAUGCAACUAGUAUGGCUGGGCAGAGUGACAUUAUCCGGGCACUAGCAAAAUAUGGGGUUGAUCUGAAGGAUAAAACAGCCAGAGGUUAUACACUCCUACACUGUGCUGCAGCAUGGGGUCAACUGGAAACUUUGAAAACUCUUGUAGAACUGGAAGUGGACCUUUAUGCAACCACCUUCCGGGGUGAAAAGGCAAGAGAUAUUGCAUAUCGAUAUGCCCAGACUGAGUGUGUUGAAUUUUUGGAAUGGGCAGAAGCAAAAAAGAACUUAAGAAUGUUGAUCAGCCAAAUCCAUGCAACAAUUACAGAUCCUGAGAAGGUUCAGGGAAGGCUUAAUAAAGAAGAUAAGAAUACCUCUCUCAAGGCCUGCCAGGCCAAGUCGGACUGGCUUGAAAACAAUAAGGAACCUACCAUGCAAGACUUCCUGGAUCAGAAGCAGCAGCUGGAAGACAUAAUGCUUCCCAUCUUCACAAAGCUGGCUACACCCCGUGUACAAGACUCCAUUGUCAGCAAAAAAUCCUGAAUUCGUUCUGGAGAACACUAACAUCACUCAGCACAGAUGCCAUCUUUAUGUUCAGUUUCAGACUCAACAGUUCACCAUUUCUACUCUGUUCUUUUGAGGCGGUCCUUAUGUUUCAUCUGGAAGCCAAAAGAAGAAAGAAGGUCUAUAUCGGAUUCUAAACCUUUGGCUGUCAGCACUGUUUCCUUAUAAUGAAUUUGAAGUGAGAAGGGGAAGCGCCAUCUAUAAGGGAUAUUUGCUGCUAUUAAUGCUUCUGUUACAGGACACAUUGUUCUUCUUUGUUUCAAGGUUUCUGGAGAUAGGUCUGAAAAAACUUGUAUAGGUUUAUUCAAAUAUUGCAAGGAUCCAUGUCUUCUAGCUUCUUGCAAUGUUUUAUUUUUUGUAUGCAUAUCCAGAAAUUUUACAACUAUGUCCCAUGGUAGUUGUGCUGCAUUUAUGGGAGGGGAGCCCAUUCAAUAUGUGUUUAUUAUAACCAGAUAGAUUCCAGCUUCCAAAUGCAACUCUUUUUUUAACCAUGUGGAAAGAGAUAAUAUCCCCGCCUUGUAUCCUCUCUUCAAAACCUCUGAAUUAGAUCGAGUCCCUUUUAAAUUGGUUUUCAAAAUUUUCAAUGUGAAAAAGUUAGUCUACUUCAUUUUUCUGCAUUAUUUGUAUUUCAGACUGUAAGGUAGUACGUACUUCCACAGCUGUUUCUGCUGUCUGGGCAAUAUCUGAAGUUUUUUGCUCAAGUUCUCAAGUUGCUGCAAAGGUUGCAGUAAUGAUUGCAUUUGUGUUAGAAUAUCUGCUUUGACUUUCUGCAACUCAUUUAGCAGAAGCUGUGCUUCAUUAUGAUAAUGGAUACAUUAAUGCCUUUAAAAGCUUUGAUACAAUCCUGGGAUGAGGAGUUCAAAAAUUAGGCGGCCGCCAUGGGUAUGACAUAACUUCCUCCCCCAACACUCUUGAGGAUAACAUUAACUGACCUAAAGGGAAUUUAAUAGCCUUCCAAGUGGACCAGCACCUUCACACACUGUAUUUAUUAAUAAUUAUCUGAAGUGCAACCUGUUUAAAUCUGAAGAAUUCUGGUACCAGACAUCUUCCCAGAAUCACUCCCUAUGCCCGCAGCAUUUCUGUUCACAGAAGUCUUUGUGAUAAAGCUAGCUAUACUAGAUGAAUGCUUUUGCACAAGGGCGUCAACUGAAGCCAUAAAACAAUCAACCUUCUGGCUAAUUGAGUUUAAGUUUUCAAAUACUGCAAGAACGGUCCGAGCUGUUAAUAUACAUUGAUCUCUGAUAAAAUCUACCGAUUACCUGGGGCACUUGCUUGGAUCCAGCCCUCCAACGGGUGCAGGAGGUAGGUUAACUAUUGCUGCUUCGAUUAGGUCAAGUUCCUGUUGCUUCAAGAGUGCAAAUCUAUUCGAUGUGGAAACAGAGUAAUGCAAACUUACAGGCUCUUUUGAUGUCUUGCUAUCCUUCGUUGCCAUAAAUGUAUCCAAACGUGUCUGCUUCGAAGUUUUCACUCAUCCUUGCACUUCUGGGCUGAUAUGCUGCUUUUUUUCUUUUCUGGCCCAUUGUUGAAGUUAGCUCAGAAGUUUUCAGCAGAAAAUAAUCUGUUGUCCUUUAGUAAAAACCAAAUUAUCUAAGAACAAACAAAAACUGAGCAACCAGUCAGUCAGCCAACUGAUCAACGGUGCUCCGGCUGAUUAAGUGUAUAACUCCUCCGAGAGGCAAACUGCAAAUUCAUAAGAGCAGAGUUUAAGAAGGAAAAGGGGGGGGAACCCCAAAACUAAAUAUCUCCUCUUCUAGGAGAAUCCAAACAUAAGACAGCAUAAGCAGACCA
Molecule: RNA transcript, 2677 nt
Organism: Hemicordylus capensis (graceful crag lizard)
Lineage: Eukaryota; Metazoa; Chordata; Lepidosauria; Squamata; Cordylidae
Gene: ANKRD45
Gene name: ankyrin repeat domain 45
Exons: 8
Source: RefSeq, a predicted model, not a curated record